AAACACCACAAACAAUUUCUUCCUAAAUGUUCCACACUGAAACCUGUGAGGGCGCUAAAACGUUUUCAUAGCACUUUAGAUGCAGGCCCAAACCAUGAUACUACCACUACUGUGUUUUACAGCUGAAAAAGGUUCCAUUUUUGUGAUUUCCUGAUUCUACGGGUCUGGCAGUACUCAGGCAACCUAGCAGCGAAGUCAGAGGAAGCAUCUGGAGACCUCUGAGAGCAGAUUGUGUCAGAGUACAAAUAUUGGGAAUGAUCCAAAAGCAUCCAGCAGCACUGAUCAUCUAGGAAAGCUUCGUAGUCUCCAUUAUUAACAAAUGGAAGAAGUUUGGAACCAGCAGGACCAUCAGUAGAUCUGACCACCCAACCAAAUAAACCACCAACCUUUAAAACGUC
Long non-coding RNA from Girardinichthys multiradiatus, 398 nucleotides. RefSeq lists it as uncharacterized. NCBI's taxonomy places the organism in Eukaryota, Metazoa, Chordata, Actinopteri, Cyprinodontiformes, Goodeidae. The transcript is spliced from 2 exons. The record is from RefSeq and is a predicted model, not a curated record.